Molecule: transfer RNA, 76 nt
Filed under: Bifidobacterium breve 2L
Lineage: Bacteria; Bacillati; Actinomycetota; Actinomycetes; Bifidobacteriales; Bifidobacteriaceae
Description: tRNA-Arg
Rfam family: tRNA
About the family: Transfer RNA (tRNA) molecules are approximately 80 nucleotides in length. Their secondary structure includes four short double-helical elements and three loops (D, anti-codon, and T loops).
Source: RNAcentral
GGUUUGUAGCUCAGUGGAUAGAGCGUCUGUCUCCGGAACAGAAGGUCGUGGGUUCGAUCCCCAUCAAGCCCACCAG